UUGACCUCGGAUCAGGUAGGGAUACCCGCUGAACUUAAGCAUAUCAAUAAGCGGAGGAAAAGAAACCAACAGGGAUUGCCCUAGUAACGGCGAGUGAAGCGGCAACAGCUCAAAUUUGAAAUCUGGCUCUUUCAGAGUCCGAGUUGUAAUUUGCAGAGGGCGCUUUGGCUUUGGCAGCGGUCCAAGUUCCUUGGAACAGGACGUCA
This 206-nucleotide ribosomal RNA is filed under the name Bipolaris austrostipae. RNAcentral's name for it is "partial 28S ribosomal RNA". It matches the Rfam family "Eukaryotic large subunit ribosomal RNA", at positions 1 to 205 of the family's 3401-position model. Lineage: Eukaryota; Fungi; Ascomycota; Dothideomycetes; Pleosporales; Pleosporaceae. The record is from RNAcentral.